CGUAGUACGCCCUGCGGCGUUGUGCGCAGGCGCAGAAGCUACAUCGGGAACUGUAGUUUCUUAAGACCCGAAGGAGGGUCAACACCGCUGCCAAUCAACUACGAAUCCCUUCGGCCAGUGCGAAGAAGGGCGGGUUCCUGAUGGUUAUUGCUGAAGGUCAUCUUGCAAUCAUAAUAAGAACCACAAGGGCUGGUCCAGCCACAACGAAGUUGGUAGGAUUGCGUGAUUGCCCUUGCAAUUAACUGAGGGGAAUGUCUUCACCUGCAACGUGCUUCCUAACAGCCUAACUCACUCAGCCACGCAAGCUAAUGGGGGACAGCUUGAUCCAGACUUCAGAGAAACCACAACAGCUCACGUAUGGACAGUGUUCACGCCUGUUGCCUGUGGGCCCCUCAGAAGGAUCACCAGAGACAUUCAAACUGCAAACCAGGAAAAUCUGCCAGAUUGCCGCUGCCUGCCCUCCCUCCUUGUGAAGACAUUUCGAGCCCGAGUUGUGAAGACCUAGAAGUCUCCUCCACUGGCUGCCCUCAGAGCUCAGUCUGCACCAGACAUUCAUCUUUGUGGUACUGUGUCACAUCAUCGCAAGAAGUAGGCUGAGUAUAGUACAAUGAGGUAUUCUAAGAGAGAGGCCACAUUCACAUAACUCUUUUUUAAAAAAUAUUUUAUUUAUUUAUUUGAGAGAGAGUGAGCACAAGCAUCAGUGGGGGAGGGGCAGAGGGAGAGGGAGAAGCAGACUUCCCCAUGAGCAGGGGGCCGGAUUC
Molecule: non-coding RNA, 761 nt
Organism: Callorhinus ursinus (northern fur seal)
Lineage: Eukaryota; Metazoa; Chordata; Mammalia; Carnivora; Otariidae
Source: RefSeq, a predicted model, not a curated record